This 76-nucleotide transfer RNA is filed under the name Rhizobium sp. MHM7A. RNAcentral describes it as "tRNA-Ile". It matches the Rfam family "tRNA". From Rfam's summary of the family: Transfer RNA (tRNA) molecules are approximately 80 nucleotides in length. Their secondary structure includes four short double-helical elements and three loops (D, anti-codon, and T loops). The record is from RNAcentral. Lineage: Bacteria; Pseudomonadati; Pseudomonadota; Alphaproteobacteria; Hyphomicrobiales; Rhizobiaceae.
GCGCUUUUAGCUCAGCGGUCAGAGCACACGCUUGAUAAGCGUGGGGUCCCAAGUUCAAUCCUUGGAAGGCGCACCA